UACGGAGGGAGCUAGCGAUGUUCGGAAUUACUGGGCGUAAAGCGCACGUAGGCGGCUAUUCAAGUCAGAGGUGAAAGCCCGGGGCUCAACCCCGGAACUGCCUUUGAAACUAGAUAGCUUGAAUCUUGGAGAGGCGAGUGGAAUUCCGAGUGUAGAGGUGAAAUUCGUAGAUAUUCGGAAGAACACCAGUGGCGAAGGCGACUCGCUGGACAAGUAUUGACGCUGAGGUGCGAAAGCGUGGGGAGCAAACAGG
Molecule: ribosomal RNA, 253 nt
Filed under: uncultured bacterium
Lineage: Bacteria
Description: partial 16S ribosomal RNA
Rfam family: Bacterial small subunit ribosomal RNA
Source: RNAcentral